This 305-nucleotide ribosomal RNA is filed under the name uncultured bacterium. RNAcentral describes it as "bacterial SSU rRNA". It matches the Rfam family "Bacterial small subunit ribosomal RNA", at positions 334 to 656 of the family's 1533-position model. The record is from RNAcentral.
UUCGCCUACGGGGCGCAGCAGUGGGGGAUAUUGUACAAUGGGGGAAACCUUGAUGCAGCGACGCCGCGUGGGUGAAGAAGCGCCUCGGCGCGUAAAGCCCUGUCAGCAGGGAAGAAAAUGACGGUACCUGAAGAAGAAGCCCCGGCUAACUACGUGCCAGCAGCCGCGGUAAUACGUAGGGGGCAAGCGUUAUCCGGAUUUACUGGGUGUAAAGGGGGCGCAGACGGCGAUGCAAGCCAGGAGUGAAAGCCCACGGCCCAACCGUGGGACUGCUCUGGAAACUGUAGAGCUGGAGUGCGGGAGGG